UCCUGGGUGGCUCAGAUGGUAAAGCGUCUGCCUACAAUGAGGGAGACCCAGGUUCGAUCCCUGGGUUAGGAA
Molecule: transfer RNA, 72 nt
Filed under: Ovis aries (sheep)
Lineage: Eukaryota; Metazoa; Chordata; Mammalia; Artiodactyla; Bovidae
Rfam family: tRNA
About the family: Transfer RNA (tRNA) molecules are approximately 80 nucleotides in length. Their secondary structure includes four short double-helical elements and three loops (D, anti-codon, and T loops).
Source: Rfam by way of RNAcentral